Molecule: non-coding RNA, 251 nt
Filed under: Levilactobacillus brevis
Lineage: Bacteria; Bacillati; Bacillota; Bacilli; Lactobacillales; Lactobacillaceae
Description: Lactobacillus brevis T-box sequence
Rfam family: T-box leader
About the family: Uncharged tRNA acts as the effector for transcription antitermination of genes in the T-box leader family.
Source: RNAcentral
AGAAAAGCAAUGAAAAGCGGGAGUAGCUUAUAACCCAUGUUAAGAGAGUUUCCGGUUGGUGAGAGGAAACCGUGGGAAGUAAGCGAAAGUAGGCUUUGAGCUGUAGAUGCGAUUAACUGAGUGUUUACUGGAUGCCACCAUUACAAGGCCAACGACUACAAUUGAUAAAGUUGUGUUCGCUAAGAUUAGGUUUUUAUUUUUUGAAUCUAAUGAAAUCAAGGUGGUACCGUGCAUCUGAAUGCGCCCUUCGA